ACGAACGCUGGCGGCAGGCCUAGCACAUGCAAGUCGAGCGCGCCCUUCGGGGUGAGCGGCGGACGGGUGAGUAACGCGUGGGAACGUGCCCUUUUCUACGGAAUAGCCUCGGGAAACUGAGAGUAAUACCGUAUACGCCCUUUGGGGGAAAGAUUUAUCGGAAAAGGAUCGGCCCGCGUUGGAUUAGGUAGUUGGUGGGGUAAUGGCCUACCAAGCCGACGAUCCAUAGCUGGUUUGAGAGGAUGAUCAGCCACACUGGGACUGAGACACGGCCCAGACUCCUACGGGAGGCAGCAGUGGGGAAUCUUAGACAAUGGGGGCAACCCUGAUCUAGCCAUGCCGCGUGAGUGAUGAAGGCCUUAGGGUUGUAAAGCUCUUUCAGCUGGGAAGAUAAUGACGGUACCAGCAGAAGAAGCCCCGGCUAACUCCGU
This 431-nucleotide ribosomal RNA is filed under the name uncultured bacterium. RNAcentral describes it as "partial 16S ribosomal RNA". It matches the Rfam family "Bacterial small subunit ribosomal RNA", at positions 29 to 506 of the family's 1533-position model. The record is from RNAcentral.